This 548-nucleotide ribosomal RNA is filed under the name uncultured bacterium. RNAcentral describes it as "partial 16S ribosomal RNA". It matches the Rfam family "Bacterial small subunit ribosomal RNA", at positions 355 to 895 of the family's 1533-position model. The record is from RNAcentral.
UGGGGAAUUUUGGACAAUGGGGGAAACCCUGAUCCAGCCAUCCCGCGUGUGCGAUGAAGGCCUUCGGGUUGUAAAGCACUUUUUGGCAGGAAAGAAACGUCGCGGGUUAAUACCCCGCGAAACUGACGGUACCUGCAGAAUAAGCACCGGCUAACUACGUGCCAGCAGCCGCGGUAAUACGUAGGGUGCAAGCGUUAAUCGGAAUUACUGGGCGUAAAGCGUGCGCAGGCGGUUCGGAAAGAAAGAUGUGAAAUCCCAGAGCUUAACUUUGGAACUGCAUUUUUAACUACCGGGCUAGAGUGUGUCAGAGGGAGGUGGAAUUCCGCGUGUAGCAGUGAAAUGCGUAGAUAUGCGGAGGAACACCGAUGGCGAAGGCAGCCUCCUGGGAUAACACUGACGCUCAUGCACGAAAGCGUGGGGAGCAAACAGGAUUAGAUACCCUGGUAGUCCACGCCCUAAACGAUGUCAACUAGCUGUUGGGGCCUUCGGGCCUUGGUAGCGCAGCUAACGCGUGAAGUUGACCGCCUGGGGAGUACGGUCGCAAGAUU